This 494-nucleotide ribosomal RNA is filed under the name uncultured bacterium. RNAcentral's name for it is "bacterial SSU rRNA". It matches the Rfam family "Bacterial small subunit ribosomal RNA", at positions 975 to 1482 of the family's 1533-position model. The record is from RNAcentral.
CCGGACUUGACGUGCAGGUGGUACCAAAGCGAAAGCUGAGGGACCCGCAAGGGAGCCUGUGCAGGUGCUGCACGGCUGUCGUCAGCUCGUGCCGUGAGGUGUUGGGUUAAGUCCCGCAACGAGCGCAACCCCUGCCGCCAGUUACCACGUCUGGCGGGACCGCCGGGACCAACCCGGAGGAAGGUGGGGAUGACGUCAAGUCAGCAUGGCCCUUACGUCCGGGGCGACACACACGCUACAAUGGCCGGGACAAUGGGUUGCGAGGGCGCGAGCCGGAGCCAAUCCCACCAAACCCGGUCUCAGUUCGGAUCGGAGGCUGCAACUCGCCUCCGUGAAGUCGGAGUUGCUAGUAACCGCAGGUCGGCACACUGCGGUGAAUACGUUCCCGGGCCUUGUACACACCGCCCGUCACGUCAUGAAAGUUGGGGACGCCUGAAGCCGGUGGCCGAACCGCAAGGACGGAGCCGUCGAAGGCGGGACCAGCGAUUGGGACG